GAUAAACGCUGGCGGCGCACAUAAGACAUGCAAGUCGAACGGAAGUCGUUGUAAUGAUUUUAAAAUGGACUGAGAACUUGUUCAAAGAAAGUGGAGAUUGACUUACAACAAUGGCUUUAGUGGCGGACUGGUGAGUAACACGUAAGCAACCUGCCUAUCAGAGGGGAACAACAGUUAGAAAUGACUGCUAAUACCGCAUAUGCCUUAGCAACACAUGUUGCAAAAGGGAAAGGAGUAAUCCGCUGAGAGAUGGGCUCGCGUCCGAUUAGAUAGUUGGUGAGGUAACGGCUCACCAAGUCGACGAUCAGUAGCCGGACUGAGAGGUUGAACGGCCACAUUGGAACUGAGAUACGGUCCAGACUCUACGGAGGCAGCAGUGGGGAAUAUUGCGCAAUGGGGAACCCUGACGCAGCAACGCCGCGUGAAGGAUGAAGGCC
This 437-nucleotide ribosomal RNA is filed under the name uncultured bacterium. RNAcentral describes it as "bacterial SSU rRNA". It matches the Rfam family "Bacterial small subunit ribosomal RNA", at positions 28 to 416 of the family's 1533-position model. The record is from RNAcentral.